RNAcentral lists this ribosomal RNA (427 nucleotides) under uncultured bacterium. RNAcentral's name for it is "bacterial SSU rRNA". It matches the Rfam family "Bacterial small subunit ribosomal RNA", at positions 355 to 775 of the family's 1533-position model. The record is from RNAcentral.
UCGAGAAUUUUUCACAAUGGGCGCAAGCCUGAUGGAGCGACGCCGCGUGGGGGAUGAAGGGUUUCGAUCCGUAAACCCCUGUCAUUUGCGGACAAACCUUGAUUGUGAAUAGCGAUCGAGCUGAUUGUAGCGGAAGAGGAAGGGACGGCUAACUCUGUGCCAGCAGCCGCGGUAAUACAGAGGUCCCAAGCGUUGUUCGGAUUCACUGGGCGUAAAGGGUGCGUAGGUGGUCGGUGAAGUUCGGUGUGAAAGCUCGGAGCUCAACUCCGAAACGGCAUUGAAAACUCAUCAGCUGGAGGGUCGGAGGGGAGACUGGAAUUCUCGGUGUAGCAGUGAAAUGCGUAGAUAUCGAGAGGAACACCAGUGGCGAAGGCGAGUCUCUGGACGACUCCUGACACUGAGGCACGAAAGCCAGGGGAGCAAACAG